This 253-nucleotide ribosomal RNA is filed under the name uncultured bacterium. RNAcentral describes it as "partial 16S ribosomal RNA". It matches the Rfam family "Bacterial small subunit ribosomal RNA", at positions 524 to 776 of the family's 1533-position model. The record is from RNAcentral.
GACAGAGGUGCCGAGCGUUAGGCGGAAUCACUGGGCUUAAAGCGUGUGUAGGCGGGCGAUCGAGUACCUUGUGAAAUCCCACGGCUCAACCGUGGAACCGCUGGGUAUACUGGUUGUCUUGAGCCGGCUAGGGGCGAGCGGAACAGACGGUGGAGCGGUGAAAUGCGUAGAUAUCGUCUGGAACGCCGAAGGUGAAAACAGCUCGCUGGGGCCGCGCUGACGCCGAGACACGAAAGCCAGGGGAGCGAACGGG